UACGGGGGGGGCAAGCGUUGUUCGGAAUUACUGGGCGUAAAGGGCUCGUAGGCGGCCAACUAAGUCAUACGUGAAAUCCCUCAGCUUAACUGGGGAACUGCGUGUGAUACUGGAUGGCUUGGAUUUGGGAGAGGGAUGCGGAAUUCCAGGUGUAGCGGUGAAAUGCGUAGAUAUCUGGAGGAACACCGGUGGCGAAGGCGGCAGCCUGGACCAAUAUUGACGCUGAGGAGCGAAAGCCAGGGGAGCAAACGGG
RNAcentral lists this ribosomal RNA (253 nucleotides) under uncultured bacterium. RNAcentral's name for it is "partial 16S ribosomal RNA". It matches the Rfam family "Bacterial small subunit ribosomal RNA", at positions 524 to 776 of the family's 1533-position model. The record is from RNAcentral.